This 4896-nucleotide long non-coding RNA is filed under the name Nicotiana benthamiana. RNAcentral's name for it is "long non-coding RNA (NBEN_LNC040849)". Lineage: Eukaryota; Viridiplantae; Streptophyta; Magnoliopsida; Solanales; Solanaceae. The record is from RNAcentral.
UGAACGUCGGGUAGCUACAUUGCUAAACUCCGAUGACUCUGCCUCUGAGCAACCAAUAUCCGCUAUCAGGUUCAGAAAUACCUAAAUCUGCACACAAGGUGCAAGGAGUAAAGUGAGUACUUCUAACUCAGUGAGUAAUAAAAAUAAAUGAAGACUGAGCGAUAUAAAAUCACGUUAAGCACAACAUUAAGCUAUAAGAGGCAUAACAACAAUCAGUAAAUAUAAUCAAGCAAGGAAAUCUCAUAAAUACCAUUAAGCAUUCAACAAUAUAUAGGAAAAAUAACUAGAAAAGUAAACACACAAGAAUUGCUCCUCGGGCACAAUCAUAUAAAAAUCAGCCCCUUAGGCAAUAUCAUAGGACGAUACCAGCCCCUCCGGCUAUAUCUCAUAUAACAAUGGGUACCCGCGCUCACUAGGGGUAUGCAGACUCCUGGAGGAGCCAUUUACUGCUCAAGCACUAUAUCAAGCCAUCUCCUGGCAUCAUAAUCAGGCUCUCGACCUUCUAUCAAUCACAAGCCACCUCGUGGCGUACAAUAUCAGGCCCUCAGCUUCAUCAUCAUAAUCAGUAUAUCACCGUUGCAACGUGCAACCUGAACCAAAAGUAUACUCACAAAGCAGACCCUCGGCUUUACUCAAUUAGAAUUUCAUAAGCCACUCGAGCAACAGUAAAAUAUAAAGCUUAGCUCAAAACAUCUUUUAAAAUAUUAUUUAAGGUGUUUAUAACAAAAUAACUUAGCUGUUUUUGAAAAUAGUAAAAUAUGGCAUGACUGAUCACACGUAUGAAACCAAAUAAUAAGGAAAAUAUCAGUAAAAAUCCCCUAAGGGUUCAAACAAUUGGCACGAAACCCAAAUAUGGCAUUUAGCCCAAACUAUAAUAAUAUCAACCAAUUAGCUAUCAAAUACACAGUAAAAUAGUCAUUGAGGAUGGACUAAGUCAGAAUCCCCAAUGGUGCACGACUCCACGCUCGUCAUAUAGCGUGUGCGUCACCUUAAUACAACCGAACGUUGUGUAAUCUGGUAUUUCAUAUCCUUAGAACAACAUUUAAAAUCAUUACUCACCUCGAAUUAGCCCGAAAAGCUACACUCCAACACGCUUGCCUCUCGAACCAACUUCCGAGUGCUCCAACUCUACCAAGUUCAAAUUUUUAUCAACAAACAAUGCUAAAUGAACGAAUUCCAAUUGAAAGAUAUCGAUUUUAAGUAGAAAAUCCGAAAUCAGUUAAAACCCAACCCCCGGGCCCGCAUCCCAGAACAUGAAAAAAUUUAUACCAAAAUAUUUUUCAUCAUCUCACGAAUCCGUACAUAUGAAGAAUUCACAAACCGGAGUUUGUUUGACCCCUCAAAGCAUCCCUAGAAGGUCUCAUAAUCUCAAGCUCUAACUCCAUCUUUUUCUACUCAUUUUCAUGAAUUAAACAGAUAUUUUGUUCCUUAAGCACAAAUAAUCGAGUUUUAAGGUCCAAAAUCCUUACCUCAAUGAAGAACAAUGAUUUCAUCUCUACAAAAUCGCCUCAAAGCUCUUUUCCCGUUCAAAAAUGGUGUAAAAGGGUUUAAUGGUCACGGAUGAUUUAUUUAAAUAUUGUUCACACAUUUUACUAUUCACCCGAUUACUGUUCACCCAUGUUAUAGUUCAUCUGAGUUACUGUUCGUUUUGCUGUGAAAAAAAUACAGCUAUUUUUUCCGAAAUCUACCAGAGGCCCUUGGAAAUCUCAAAAAAUAUUCCAAAACGUCCCAUAACAUCAUUCAAACUUAGUCGAGCCUUCGAAACAGUAAAAACACCAAAAUCACAUCAAAUUCAAGCCUAUGAACUUUGAAAUUCCUAAAUUCCACCAAUGAUGCUGAAACUAUCCAAAACAACUCUGAUUGACCUAAAAUUUUGCACACAUAUCCAAAAUGACAUUACGUACCUAUUUCAACUGCCGAUCGGAAAUCGCCAAAAACUAACUUUCACCAAUUCAAGCCUAAUUCUACAUCGGACAUCAAAAGAAUAUUACAGACACAAUCCUAAGUCCCAAAUUACCUAACAAAGCUAUCUGAGCCAUAAAAUUUGCAUUUCGAGGUCAUUUACCAAUAAGUCAAAACUUGGUCAAACCUUUCAAUUUCAAGCUUCAAACUGAGAACUAUUCUUCCAAUUUCAUUCCGAUUACCCUAAAAACCAAAAACAACUAUUUACAUAAGUCAUAAUACAUUACACGUGGCAAGUCAUGCUCGAGAACGGGCGAGCAAAGUGCAAAAGCUCAAAACGGCCGGUCAGGUCAUUCCAUCCUCCCUAGUUAAACAUAUGUUCAUCCCCAAAUGUGUCCAAAGUUAUUCCAAAAGCCAACCAACCACCAAAUAAACAUACCAUGCACAUACCCGGGGGUGAUUCCACGUCACCCUAUCUCAUAUAGGUCUGAUAAUACAAUGCAGCUAAAAUUUCACAAUCCAACCUAGUCCUUCAACCUUAGAACCACAUAAUCACUUCCCAAAUCAUCCACAAGAUCAAAAUCUCAUAUCUAUACUCUGAAUAAGCCCGAAAAGGCUGUAAUAACCCAUACCUGCAACCUCAGGUGCAAUUACAUGAUCCACCACAUAACUCAAACACUUGUAGCGAUAACUUCUAAUCACAACAGCCGCAGACAACAACCGAAUAUCGAUAGAUAACCUCUUACCAACAAAAGCCUAUCCAACACUUUCAUAUACUUCCAAUGAUAAUGAAACACGUAGUAAGCCAUAACCAUUUCUCAGAGCAACCAAUUAUGAAACCACUUCUCCUUUGUUAAGGACCAUAGCAAUUUUUUGUGCAGAACCUCGAUAUUAUCCCUCUUACAUAUUGAAAUUGAAUUUGUUUGCAUUCAUUAAAGACCCAAACAGUCUCAUCUAAUCCAACACAAUUACUGUACACCUUUUUUUUACAUACCUACCCCGAAGGAUAAAUGUAUGAGGGAGUUUUUCAAUUUAAGUGACAUUAUUCGAAAUGGAAUUAUUUAUUUAUUUAGAGUCGCCACUUGGGAUAGGCUUGGCAUUUGGUGUCCCAAGUCACCUAUUUGUUUUGAAUCCCUAAUCGAGAAAAAUUUUUGACUUCCCAAAUUUAGUCUGCGAACUAGAAAUUCUAAGUAAGGAAUUCCGUUGACCUGAGGGUAGGUGUUAGGCACCCUCGGAUGUUUUAGCACAGUCUCUUAAACUAUUAUAAUUAGAUAAAACUGUGAUUUUAAUACAUGCCAUCCUAUAGUGCCAUUUUUAGGAUUAUUUACCACUUAAUAAUUUUUAAGAAAUUGAAAGUCGUUUAAAACAUGUUUUUGGAUCACGUCACAUGAAAUGUACCUGGAUCACAUGAAAUGCACACCCGAAUUUAGGAAGGUAAAAUUAUUAAAAGCGCGCCUAAAGUGACUAACGUGUUAUUAACUUUAUGGGAGGCCAUGGAAAUAUACUAAGCGACUCGUCCCAAGUUCUAUGUAUUUUAAUAUAAACCUUUAAAGAGGGCCACACAAUUUGUGAGUUUUAUUUGGCGCGACGCAUCUUAUUUUAUUUUAAAAGGCCACCCUAGAGCAAACUAUUAUUUUCUGUUGAAAAAGGGGCUUAAUUAAUUAAUAUUUUAAAAUUCGAGCCUUAAGUUCAAGUAUGGAUUCAAACAAAAGGGAAGAACUCUUAAUUUGUCCCCGCUACCUAACUCGAAAGACCAAAUCUAUAUCACGUUAAACUAUGAAUUAAGGCCUACGAAUUUGAAUCAAUAUGCGAACUCAGGAACCUAUUGUUAUCCAAAACGAAGCCAGAUAAAACAUAAAAUGUAACUAUUGAUUUUUGAAUAAAACCAUUAGACUGCUAAAUUAGAAUGAAUUAAGAUUUCUAGUUCAGUUACAGUGCUUCAAAUAUCAACUCAUAUCCAGGUAUAAUGACAUUGUCUAAAUCAGAAACAGAUGGUAGGGUAACAUACGUUGUUUUAGAUCUGACCUCAACUCAUUAUUAAACAUAUGAGAUCAGUUAUAACACUAGCUAUAGGAUCGAUUUUUGAAACUGCUUAAAGCUCAAGUAGCUAAUAGAUCCAAUUGACAACAUCAGAUAAGCUAGCCAUCAAUCGCGAUGACAAAGCAUACUAAUUAACUUAAUAAUGACUUCUGAAUCACAUACUACGAAUGAUGCUCCUAUUAGUUUCUUAUACCACACUGAUUACUGAGUUACUGCUCACAGAUGCAUGUUUACGACCUCUACAUCGGUUUCAUACUCAAACAGCCCUCAAUUAAAGAAUAAUCGAAUUGAAACCAACACUAGAUGACAAUAAUCAACUAAAGUCUCAAACAGUCAAAAGUGUGUCCAGUUUAAUUACAAGCCAAAAUCGUUGAAUGAGUGUUACAGCUAUUACUAAAGCUAAUAACAUUUAUUUCUACAAUUUCAAUAUGAAAACUGAAUAUUCCUCCAUUAUUAAACUCUGAAUGGUGUGCAUAAACAUAGAUUUGUACUUCUAAAUCUCCUGAGUUAGGGGAAAUACCUGGAAUUUGUAAUGAAACAAGGAGAAGAAGAAGGUCAGCAACAGUUCAAACAGCAAAUCACAGCAAACACUAAUUUUAGCUUUGGACUCAGCGAUGGAAAACUAGUAUGCAACCAAAAUGGACUCGAACAACACCAGGAUCAACUUGUAAUUAACCUAGGAGCCUCAAUUAUUGAUCAAGCUGGUAGAUCUAAGCUACUUUGACCUUAAGUAAACUAGAAGUCUGAAGUAGGAACUAAAAUUUUAAAUUUAACUAGGAACUACAGCAGAAUAGCACUUUUUUGGAGUUUUUCUUGGUACUUUUUGAACUUUUUAAAGAAUAGAGAUUGAACUUCAGUUGCUUGAUUUUGGAUUUUGAACUUCAAAUUGCAGAGAUUUGAAUUAGGAGUGUUUUUUUUGGAGGAAAUAUUUCAGAGGUGAAACUUUUGCGAAUU